RNAcentral lists this ribosomal RNA (241 nucleotides) under Bacillus velezensis. RNAcentral describes it as "partial 16S ribosomal RNA". It matches the Rfam family "Bacterial small subunit ribosomal RNA", at positions 518 to 758 of the family's 1533-position model. The record is from RNAcentral. Lineage: Bacteria; Bacillati; Bacillota; Bacilli; Caryophanales; Bacillaceae.
CGGUAAUACGUAGGUGGCAAGCGUUGUCCGGAAUUAUUGGGCGUAAAGGGCUCGCAGGCGGUUUCUUAAGUCUGAUGUGAAAGCCCCCGGCUCAACCGGGGAGGGUCAUUGGAAACUGGGGAACUUGAGUGCAGAAGAGGAGAGUGGAAUUCCACGUGUAGCGGUGAAAUGCGUAGAGAUGUGGAGGAACACCAGUGGCGAAGGCGACUCUCUGGUCUGUAACUGACGCUGAGGAGCGAAA